GGGAGCGGAUCGGGCCUGGUGGUUCGGCCGGUCUUCAAAACCGCGAUGGAGGUGUCUACGACAGCUCCGGUGGGUUCGAUUCCCACACGCUCCCGCCA
Molecule: transfer RNA, 98 nt
Filed under: Bacillota bacterium
Lineage: Bacteria; Bacillati; Bacillota
Also listed under: 2 other names
Description: tRNA-Sec
Rfam family: Selenocysteine transfer RNA
Source: RNAcentral